Panicum virgatum (switchgrass) is the source of this 1171-nucleotide long non-coding RNA. RefSeq lists it as uncharacterized. The record is from RefSeq and is a predicted model, not a curated record. NCBI's taxonomy places the organism in Eukaryota, Viridiplantae, Streptophyta, Magnoliopsida, Poales, Poaceae. The transcript has 2 exons.
ACAGCAGCGCGCUCCGCCGCGCGCAGUCGGAAUUGCGGAAUCCAUGGGCCGGAAGCUGCACUUGUAUGGGCCGCAGAAUUGUUCUGGGCGGCGAUAUCGUUUCUGGGCUGGACCGUUACCUGCGUGAUGUUGUGUGAAGCAAGUCAGUUAGCUGACGGCGAUGGGACAGAGGCGGUUUCAAGAAGCGGCAAACCAAAGGAGAAGGCUGUUCUUUUUUCUUUUCGGCGUCGGAGCAGUGGGAGAGGUGUGGCUCCGAGACUCACGGCGGUGAGGAGAUGGCCGGCGUUCCUGCUGUGCAUAGUGGCCAUUUGGGUCGGUAAUCUGACUCUGAAUUUGUAUUAUGCUGUGCUUUACUUUCUUUAGCAAUUGUUGUGAUUUUGUAUCGCUGUAGGAGGAGGUGUUGCUGCCUGUGUAUCUGCUCAUGCGAUUUUGAGUGAAGUGGUAAAGGCUUUAGAGGGUUCCACGCCUUUUCAUUCCUUCAGAAGUGUUGAUGGCCUCUAUGUGGCGACCGGUUUUGUGAUUGUUCCCUUACCAGAUGCGAUUGACGAUUACACUCUUCUUGAGGCAACGGGCCAUGGAGUGGACCAAGGAGGGAGCCGAGGAGGGCGCAGCAAAGGCACUGAUUCUUGUAGCAAAAUGCGAUUUUGGUGUCAUGGUCUAUGAUUUCAAUUUCAGCGAGGCUGAAGGUCUCCGAAAGGAGAAUGACAUUCUUCGCACGAAAAAUAGGCUUCUUAGUUCUGGUUGGGCUCACUGACUUGAUCAUUUGGAGAUGGUUCAGAAGGUGCUGGAAAGUAUCACUCUUGACACUGUUGGUGGUUGCCCGAGGGAUUCGAUUGGUCUGCUUGCUCAUGGAGCCGCUGUGUUUGCAGAGGAGAAUGUUUGGGCUGGCACUUCUGCGGUGCAAGAGCUGGCUAGCGAGUUCAUGGAUGAGACUUGAGUUCGUGAAGGUGUUCUUUUGGCAAAAUAGAAUAUGCAGUAACCACCUAUAUGCCUGUGAACGGGCAGCCAAGCCUAGUUGAUUUUGUAUGCUAUGUUUCCUGUAUUAUCAUGUAAGACUACAUGUACGCGUAUCCAUAUAUUGGACUAUGUGAAGUAUUGUUGCAAUUGAUAUUCCCAGUGUGAUGGUUGCAAAGAUUCAAGAAUUGGUGUGACUAUUGUAUCUCUGAUUGCA